CCUACGGGAGGCAGCAGUGGGGAAUAUUGGGCAAUGGGCGCAAGCCUGACCCAGCAACGCCGCGUGAAGGAAGAAGGCUCUCGGGUUGUAAACUUCUUUUGACAGGGAAGAGUAGAAGACGGUACCUGUCGAAUAAGCCACGGCUAACUACGUGCCAGCAGCCGCGGUAAUACGUAGGUGGCAGGCGUUGUCCGGAUUUACUGGGUGUAAAGGGCGUGUAGCCGGGUUGACAAGUCAGAUGUGAAAUCCUGCGGCUUAACCGCAGAACUGCAUUUGAAACUGUUGAUCUUGAGUACUGGAGAGGCAGACGGAAUUCCUAGUGUAGCGGUGAAAUGCGUAGAUAUUAGGAGGAACACCAGUGGCGAAGGCAGUCUGCUGGACAGCAACUGACGGUGAGGCGCGAAAGCGUGGGGAGCAAACAGGAUUAGAUACCCGAGUAGUC
This 442-nucleotide ribosomal RNA is filed under the name uncultured bacterium. Its description in RNAcentral is "partial 16S ribosomal RNA". It matches the Rfam family "Bacterial small subunit ribosomal RNA", at positions 338 to 795 of the family's 1533-position model. The record is from RNAcentral.